RNAcentral lists this unclassified non-coding RNA (299 nucleotides) under Hevea brasiliensis (rubber tree). The record is from RNAcentral. Lineage: Eukaryota; Viridiplantae; Streptophyta; Magnoliopsida; Malpighiales; Euphorbiaceae.
AGACACAAUUAGAAGAGUACUUCAGCAUAUGAUAUUGAACAAUGCGCUUCCAACAAAAGAUGCACUUGUGUUGUCAGAUAUCCCUGAAGGGACUCCAAAACUGCACAUUUUGGCUUAAGAUAAGCAGCUACCUGUUCAGUUUCUGAAAUUUUGUAUUUAAGGUGUUGUAGAAAGGUUCAACAAGACAUAGUUUGGACAGCGCUUCGACAUGUGAAUAGUAAAUGGUUGGAUUUGAUAAAGCAGUUCUGUGUUCAGUCUCUGCACCUUUCUGAAUUCACUUUUAACAGGUAUCCACAGUG